GAUGAACGCUGGCGGCGUGCCUAAUACAUGCAAGUAGAACGCUGAAGCUUGGUGCUUGCACCGAGCGGAUGAGUUGCGAACGGGUGAGUAACGCGUAGGUAACCUGCCUCUUAGCGGGGGAUAACUAUUGGAAACGAUAGCUAAUACCGCAUAAAAGUCGAUAUCGCAUGAUAUUGAUUUGAAAGGUGCAAUUGCAUCACUAAGAGAUGGACCUGCGUUGUAUUAGCUAGUUGGUGAGGUAACGGCUCACCAAGGCGACGAUACAUAGCCGACCUGAGAGGGUGAUCGGCCACACUGGGACUGAGACACGGCCCAGACUCCUACGGGAGGCAGCAGUAGGGAAUCUUCGGCAAUGGGGGCAACCCUGACCGAGCAACGCCGCGUGAGUGAAGAAGGUUUUCGGAUCGUAAAGCUCUGUUGUAAGAGAAGAACGAGUGUAAGAGUGGAAAGUUCACACUGUGACGGUAACUUACCAGAAAGGGACGGCUAACUACGUGCCAGCAGCCGCGGUAAUACGUAGGUCCCGAGCGUUAUCCGGAUUUAUUGGGCGUAAAGCGAGCGCAGGCGGUUAGAUAAGUCUGAAGUUAAAGGCUGUGGCUUAACCAUAGUACGCUUUGGAAACUGUUUAACUUGAGUGCAGAAGGGGAGAGUGGAAUUCCAUGUGUAGCGGUGAAAUGCGUAGAUAUAUGGAGGAACACCGGUGGCGAAAGCGGCUCUCUGGUCUGUAACUGACGCUGAGGCUCGAAAGCGUGGGGAGCAAACAGG
This 765-nucleotide ribosomal RNA is filed under the name uncultured Streptococcus sp. RNAcentral's name for it is "bacterial SSU rRNA". It matches the Rfam family "Bacterial small subunit ribosomal RNA", at positions 28 to 776 of the family's 1533-position model. The record is from RNAcentral. Lineage: Bacteria; Bacillati; Bacillota; Bacilli; Lactobacillales; Streptococcaceae.